ACUCCUACGGGAGGCAGCAGCAAGGAAUUUUCCGCAAUGGGCGCAAGCCUGACGGAGCAACGCCGCGUGCGGGAUGACGCCUUUCGGGGUGUAAACCGCUGUUCGUGGGGACGAAGCACUGACGGUACCCACGGAGGAAGGCCCGGCUAACUACGUGCCAGCAGCCGCGGUAAUACGUAGGGGCCGAGCGUUGUCCGGAGUUACUGGGCGUAAAGCGUGCGCAGGCGGCGUAUCGCGCCCGGCGUGAAAGCCCCCGGCUCAACCGGGGAGGGUCGUCGGGGACGGGUACGCUUGAGGGCAGCAGGGGCUGGUGGAAUUCCCGGUGUAGUGGUGAAAUGCGUAGAGAUCGGGAGGAACACCUGUGGCGAAGGCGGCCAGCUGGGCUGCACCUGACGCUGAGGCACGAAGGCGUGGGGAGCGAACGGGAUUAGAUACCCCGGUAGUCCACGCAGUAAACGAUGCAGACUAGGCGUGGGGGGACUUGACCCCCUCCGUGCCGGAGCUAACGCGGGAAGUCUGCCGCCUGGGGAGUACGGCCGCAAGGCUAAAACUCAAAGGAAUUGACGGGGGCCCGCACAAGCGGCGGAGCGUGUUGUUUAAUUCGUCGCAACGCGAAGAACCUUACCAGGG
This 630-nucleotide ribosomal RNA is filed under the name uncultured bacterium. RNAcentral's name for it is "bacterial SSU rRNA". It matches the Rfam family "Bacterial small subunit ribosomal RNA", at positions 335 to 979 of the family's 1533-position model. The record is from RNAcentral.